UGAGAGGGGGGUGUUGUUGGAAAUAUGCCCUAGAAGCAAUGAUAAAAUAGUCAUUAUUAUAUUUCCUGUUUCAAGAUAAUCGUUUAUUAUCCAUGCUAUAAUUGUAUUGAAUGAAAGCAUAGAUACAUGUGUGGAUAUAUAGACAAAAGAAUGUCCCUAAUAAGCCUCUAGUUGACUAGCCAGUUGAUCAAGGAUGGUUAAGGUUUUCUGACCAUAUGCAAGUGUUGUCACUUGAU
RNAcentral lists this long non-coding RNA (236 nucleotides) under Hordeum vulgare. Its description in RNAcentral is "long non-coding RNA (HVUL_LNC013072)". The record is from RNAcentral. Lineage: Eukaryota; Viridiplantae; Streptophyta; Magnoliopsida; Poales; Poaceae.